CCCUCCUCAUAGCAAGUCGAGCGGUAACAGAGAGUAGCUUGCUACUCUGCUGACGAGCGGCGGACGGGUGAGUAAUGCUUGGGAAUGUACCUUAUGGUGGGGGACAACAGUUGGAAACGACUGCUAAUACCGCAUAAUGUCUUCGGACCAAAGCGGGGGACCUUCGGGCCUCGCGCCAUAAGAUCAGCCCAAGUGGGAUUAGCUAGUUGGUGAGGUAAUGGCUCACCAAGGCGACGAUCCCUAGCUGGUUUGAGAGGAUGAUCAGCCACACUGGGACUGAGACACGGCCCAGACUCCUACGGGAGGCAGCAGUGGGGAAUAUUGCACAAUGGGCGCAAGCCUGAUGCAGCCAUGCCGCGUGUGUGAAGAAGGCCUUCGGGUUGUAAAGCACUUUCAGUAAGGAGGAAAGGUUGGAUGUUAAUAGCAUUCAGCUGUGACGUUACUUACAGAAGAAGCACCGGCUAACUCCGUGCCAGCAGCCGCGGUAAUACGGAGGGUGCGAGCGUUAAUCGGAAUUACUGGGCGUAAAGCGUACGCAGGCGGUUUGUUAAGCGAGAUGUGAAAGCCCCGGGCUCAACCUGGGAACUGCAUUUCGAACUGGCAAACUAGAGUGUGAUAGAGGGUGGUAGAAUUUCAGGUGUAGCGGUGAAAUGCGUAGAGAUCUGAAGGAAUACCGAUGGCGAAGGCAGCCACCUGGGUCAACACUGACGCUCAUGUACGAAAGCGUGGGGAGCAAACAGGAUUAGAUACCCUGUAGUCCACGCCGUAAACGAUGUCUACUAGAAGCUCGGUUCCUCGGAACUGUUUUUCAAAGCUAACGCAUUAAGUAGACCGCCUGGAGAGUACGGCCCGCAAGGUUAAAACUCAAUGAAUUUGACGGGGGCCCGCACAAGCGGUGGAGCAUGUGGUUUAAUUUCGAUGCAACGCGAAGGACCCUUACCUACACUUGACAUACAGAGACUUACCAGAGAUGCUUUGGCUGCCUUCGGGACUCUGAUACAGUGCUGCAUGCUGUCGUCAGCUCGUUGUUGGUAAAUGUGGUUUAAGUCCCGCCACGAGGCGCCACCUCCCUAUCCUAGUGCAGGCGAUUUCAGGUCGGACCUCUAAGGAACUUGCCCGGUGAUAACCGGGAGUAGGUGUUACGACGUCCAAGUCACUCCCAUGGCCCG
RNAcentral lists this ribosomal RNA (1169 nucleotides) under bacterium Por-3-10-02. RNAcentral's name for it is "bacterial SSU rRNA". It matches the Rfam family "Bacterial small subunit ribosomal RNA", at positions 47 to 1202 of the family's 1533-position model. The record is from RNAcentral.